GAAAGGGGCCUCAGAGGGCAUCCUCCCUACUCCAUGGCCUUGCCCUUGUCUCUCCACCUCCCCGAUAGAAGGCACUAGAUCUCAAUAUAAGCCCCAGGGCAGCAAGACUGAUCUAGCUUCCCCAUUAUUCCGCUUGGGAAUAAUGCCCAAGGACCACUAGGCCUGAGUCUCACAGCUCCAGGCCUGGAAAGGAGCCUACUUGUCCCGUCACAGAUCACAACUGGGCGGGCCAGCUCUGAGCCUUUGCUAUUUGAAGGGAUGUUUUGAUAACCUCUUACCGCUCCUCCCCAACCCUGCAAAGCCCCACCUGAUCACCCCACACUCUGGGCCUCCUCUUAUCUCCUUACUCUAAGCUCCCCAUCCAUUACUGUCGGCUGGCAACACAAGUUUUAUCUGAGCCUCUGUGGAAUGGAAUUGAUUUCUGUGAAUAAUUGGAAUAGCUGGCUAGUGACCCAGUAUUGCUGCCACCAGGGUAGUUGGAGCUUCAAAGCUCUCAUCCAACUCUGCCUCUCUCUCUCCAUUCCCGUGGCUGUUGUCUGGUCCAAACCAUCCUGACCUUCUGCUUGGAUCAUGAUUACAGCUUCCUAACUGCGCUGCCUCUUUCUGAUUACCCUGCACCCCAUCAUCCACUCCAAUCUGUCCUCUACAUAGCGGCUAAAUAGAUCUUUAAAAGCUCAAACCUGCCUAGACAGUAACGCCUUUCUACCUUGGCCUGCCAUUUAGGGGUCUUUCUGAUGGAAUUCCAGCUUAACUUUCCAGCCUUACAGCCCCUGUUGGUCCUAGUUCUCUCUGGCCACCAGAACUCAUCUGCUUCCUCCUCCCACGAGAAACUGGGGAGAGAUGGAGACAGCACCCAAAGCCUGCUCUUCUUUAAGCUGUUUCCUCUCAACUGGGCUUUCCAUCGUGCCAUUGCUGGGCUACCUUGGCUUGGCCAAGCCCCAUCUCCUAUUGUCGCAGUGUGAAUACCAGAAGAAGCAAACAGCCUGCAGAUGGGACACUUAUUCACCCCUGAUGCAAGUGUGACUGGAGCUAUUGAAUGACUGAUGAGAUCCGUUGUAACAAUCAUUCUGGCAAAGGUGUGGAGAUGGCUCAGAGGAUUGAGCUGGGAGCAGGGUGGCCUCAGCCACAUGUGCUACCAUGGCUCUGAGCAGGGGCCUUCUUGGAUCAUUCAACCAGCAGAUGAAGAAAAAGAGGGCGAAUGGAGAAUUAUAUGUCAGAGAAUUUUAUGGAUCUUACUGGAGGGUAAAUUCAAUCCUGGUAACUUAAUUGUGGGCAAAAGUGCAAAUCUCCUGGCAUCCAAUUCUUACCAUAGAUUUCUGAUGUCUGGAAGCAUGGUGGAGCAACACACUUCUGAAGGGACAGCAGGUGCUGUAGUGAAGUUUUCCACAAAAGAAGAAAAUGUUGUGCUCUUUGUCUACCUCACCAACUUCCCUUCAGCCCUUGGGGAGUGUAGAAGACCUCCAUGUUCAUCAGGGCUCCAUUUUAAGGAGAGAACAGAAGUUGGAGGAUAAGGUGGGAGUUCUGAUUGAUGUGGACCAGAUAAGGUGACAUCUGGCCAAAGAGGAAGCUGGGAGCCACAGACUGCUAAUAGGAUGAAGGGAGACACAGCUACCCCUCUGUGGGGUCAUCAGAGAUGGAGGGGGCUGGCAUAAAGAUGAACAUCUGCGUCCAAAACCAUAUAACUCCAUACACCACAUCAUCUAAUAGGAGACCAACAUAUUGUCAGAGGCCGCCAGCAACAGAGGGAAGCAGCUGUGUUGUCAGUCCAUCUCCUGAUGAAGCAAGGGCAGUUUGAAUGCUGAAUGGAGGUGGAUGAGGAAGGGGAACACUACGUGAAAAUAUUUGUUUUACACAGAUGAAAUGUUGGAUCAGAACGCACGGAACUACAUCCAGCCCUACAGGUAAUUAUGAUUCAGCUUGGUGCAGGGACCUGCGUUUGGAAGCCGCUGCUUCAGAGUGUUCCAGAGAACGGCAGCCUCACGCAAGCAUGAAGCGUUUAACUGUGCAACACAAAUCAACAACCUGGGCUCCUAGAAUUCAGGGUGAGGUUUCACAGAGUGUCAGAGUUGAAAAGGAUCUUGGGGCUCACUGAUGAAGCAUUAGCGACGAGGAGCCUGAGGCCAGAGGGAACGUGCCACGGACAGCCUGAGCUACAGUGCAGGUCUCCUCCCUCCUCCGCAGCACUGCUGACCACGGCUUUCCGUGGUUAUAAUACUGUCACUUCCCCGCUAGCCCAAGGAUCUGAAAAUACUUUUGGGAGGCCGCGAGGAACACAAGGGGAGCAGAUAAUGACAUGGUCCACAACACACUUAAGGAGUUGGCAGAGUUUGGGAUCAGGGGAUUCUGCGCGUGUGUGGAUAAUCAGCAUUCAGGAGAAGGUGUAGUGCACACCCACAACUCAUGGAGACCCUACUGUGUGCUGGGCUCUGCAUUAGGCCAUGGAAAUAAAAAGAGGGUUUAAUCCUGGCUCCUGUCCUCGAGGAGCUCACAGCCUACUGGAGAGAGAGAGACAUACCCGGAUAUUCUCAAUGUGUUGCAACAAAUGCUAAGCUGGAGACAUGGGCAUGAGAUCCCCUGGUAGAGAGAGACCAUUAAGCUUCAAGUGAUCAUGCAGAAGAGCUACCAGCCAGUUUCAGAUAAUGGCCCUGGUCAUUGAGAGGUCACACUGUCUUCAUUAGACAGAGAAGGGAGAGCGUUUUGUGAUCCUCAAUAGGAACAGAAAUAUCAGCAGUUUGUGGCAUUAAGCCCACAAAUUUCAGGAAGUUGGAUUCCAAACUCUAGGACAUGAGGUCCAAAUAUGCUCAAAACAUAUGUACAAGGGUGUUUGUGGCAGCUUUCGUUUUAUUAGCCAAAGACUGGACACUACCCAACUACACAUUGUUGUGGCAAUCCCUCAGAAUUUCCUGCUUCUGAAGAACUCACAAAUAGAGACAGAUGAAUGAGCCUAUAUGGCCAUGGAGAACAAAGGGUAAAACACAAUUGCAUAUUUUAGUCUAAUGUGAAGGUUUUUCAUCAGUUCUAUAAUGUUUUGGCUUUUGAUUCAGCAGACAAAUGUGAUGGUUAUCUAUCCCUCAACAAAAAAAGUUUGCUAGAUUCUAGGGUCAUAGACAAGUGAACAGACACUUGGAUAGUAACAAUAAUGUAAAACUGCCAUCUUAUGUACAUGGGCAGUUCUUGCAACCUUGGAGAGCAAUUCACUCUGCAGCAUCAUGGCAGGGAGAAGAUCCACAAAGUGAAGACUUUACUAGUGAGGUGGUGUCAACAUUUUGAAGAAUGAGGUGGUUAUCUCAUAGAGUAUAAAGGGAAUGGGGACAUACACCAGAUUCAAUAUGCAGAAACCCUACUGAGCAAGGGAAAUUGAGGAAUAUAUUUGUCUAUCAAGAUUAAGGAAUGAGGCAGAGAGCACACUGUGAAGGGCUUCAUAUGCUAGGGUAAUGAAUUUAAGCUUUAUCCUCUAGGAUAGGAACUACUAAGAGGCUAAGAGGUAGUAUGCAUAGUGAUUAAAAGCGAGGUCCUAAAAUGGUACUGCUAAGUAGAAAUCCUGUUUUUACUAUUUAGUUGUAUGAACUUAAGCAAGUUACUAUAAAAACACUCUGUGACUCUGUUUAUUCAGCUGUAAGUAAGGAAUAAUAAUUUUUCCUCAUUACAUUUAUUGUUGGAAUUGAUUGAAUUAUUAUAUAUAAAGUGGUCAUAAUGGUGCCUAAUAGGUACUAUACUAUAAAGUAUAAGUACUACAAGAAAAUUAAGAAUGAUAAAGUAUUUGUUCACUCAUCAUUUUUAGUAUAUUGAAUUUUAUUGUUUAAGAGGGAUAAAAAGCAGGGGCUUUGGAACCAGAUUCAAAUCUCGACUCAUAAUUUUCAUUAAAACAAAAAAGUCCUCAUUGUCCUCAAGUUUUAGUUACUGCUUCCUGCUCCUGCUCCCUCAAGCCCAGGCCUGGUCACAAUCCUUUUAUUUUAGCUCCAGGAUAUUGCAAUAGGAUUUCCCUACACCUUAUUCACACAUUUGUAAAUGAUCUUUUAUUUGAAUGCCCCAAAAUUUGAGCAUUUCAACUUUUUUUUUUUUUAUUAGAACCACGACUGAUGAGGAACUGGUACUUAAAGUGUCUCCCAGAAAGAAACCCUCCAAAUAUGAUUCUGAAAUUGGUUUUCUUAUGUAUUCGAGGAGGGCACAGCUAAUGUAUGGAUGCAAUUUGCCAAUAUUUGAGGUACAAAGAUUAACUGCAAGUGAGGAGUAAGGUACAGAGAAGAAAACAAAAUGACUUGUUUGCUAUGGCAAAAAAUAGUAAUUGUAAAGACUGUGCAGUCCUCUACCUUCUUCAGACUACCCUGGAAGACGGACUUAAGGAAAAGGGGCAAUUUAAAGUUCUAAAUAGACAACUGAGAACAUGUUCGAAAAACCCAGAGGUCUCCAUUUCAGCUCUGAAGGAGUCCCUCAUCUUCUCCCUAGCCAAAAGACAUGCAGUAGAGGACUUUUAGUUUUCAGGAACCUAAUAGGUUAGAUGGGCACAUCUAUAAUUAAAGGGACACUCAUUCACCUUGAAGGGACAGAUACUCUGUUAUUGGAUCUGAUGUCCCUGCCAGCAGCACUUCUUAAUGCACAACUCAUAUACAUACAGAAUGCCCUUUCAUUCCAUGAUAUCCCAUACAACAGCAGUCCCCAACCUUUUUGAUACCAAGGACAGAUUUCAUGGAAAACAGUUUUUCCAUGGACUGGGGGAAGGGAGGAUUAGUUUGGUGAUGUAUCAAGUGCCUUAAAUCUAUUGGGCAGUUUAUUUCUACUAUUAUAGCAUUGUAAUAUGUAAUGAAAUAAUUA
This 4812-nucleotide long non-coding RNA is filed under the name Homo sapiens (human). Its description in RNAcentral is "HSALNT0292021". Lineage: Eukaryota; Metazoa; Chordata; Mammalia; Primates; Hominidae. The record is from RNAcentral.